This 497-nucleotide ribosomal RNA is filed under the name uncultured bacterium. Its description in RNAcentral is "partial 16S ribosomal RNA". It matches the Rfam family "Bacterial small subunit ribosomal RNA", at positions 28 to 507 of the family's 1533-position model. The record is from RNAcentral.
GAUGAACGCUGGCGGCGUGCCUAAUACAUGCAAGUCGAGCGAACAGACGAGGAGCUUGCUCCUCUGACGUUAGCGGCGGACGGGUGAGUAACACGUGGAUAACCUACCUAUAAGACUGGGAUAACUUCGGGAAACCGGAGCUAAUACCGGAUAACAUGUUGAACCGCAUGGUUCAACAGUGAAAGACGGUCUUUCUGUCACUUAUAGAUGGAUCCGCGCCGCAUUAGCUAGUUGGUAAGGUAACGGCUUACCAAGGCAACGAUGCGUAGCCGACCUGAGAGGGUGAUCGGCCACACUGGAACUGAGACACGGUCCAGACUACUACGGGAGGCAGCAGUAGGGAAUCUUACGCAAUGGGCGAAAGCCUGACGGAGCAACGCCGCGUGAGUGAAGAAGGUCUUCGGAUCGUAAAACUCUGUUAUUAGGGAAGAACAAAUGUGUAAGUAACUAUGCACGUCUUGACGGUACCUAAUCAGAAAGCCACGGCUAACUACGUG